This 368-nucleotide RNase P RNA is filed under the name Acidovorax sp. IB03. Its description in RNAcentral is "RNase P RNA component class A". It matches the Rfam family "Bacterial RNase P class A". From Rfam's summary of the family: Ribonuclease P (RNase P) is a ubiquitous endoribonuclease, found in archaea, bacteria and eukarya as well as chloroplasts and mitochondria. Its best characterised activity is the generation of mature 5'-ends of tRNAs by cleaving the 5'-leader elements of precursor-tRNAs. Cellular RNase Ps are ribonucleoproteins. Lineage: Bacteria; Pseudomonadati; Pseudomonadota; Betaproteobacteria; Burkholderiales; Comamonadaceae. The record is from RNAcentral.
GAAGCACGCCAGACCGCCGCUGGUGCAAUCUGGGAAACCAGGCACUGGAGGAACGUCCGGACUGCACAGGACAGCGUAGCAGCUAAUGGCUGCCCACCGUGAGGUGAGGAUCAGAGCAACAGAGACGAGUCCCAGGGGAGUGCCGCAAGGUAGACCACUGGGGGUGAAACGGGCAAUCUCUACGCGCAGCAAUACCAAGUAGGCCAGCCACGGGAGCAGGGCGACCUCUCUCGACCUUGUGGAUCCGCGGGGAGAGCUGGCGGGUAGGUAGCACCGAGCCGUGGUGGCGACACCCGGCCCAGAUUAAUGGCGGUCACACUGCGGGCAACCGUGGUGCACAGAAUCCGGCUUAUCGGCGCGCUUCACAC